Molecule: ribosomal RNA, 1085 nt
Filed under: Staphylococcus equorum
Lineage: Bacteria; Bacillati; Bacillota; Bacilli; Caryophanales; Staphylococcaceae
Description: bacterial SSU rRNA
Rfam family: Bacterial small subunit ribosomal RNA
Source: RNAcentral
GGAAUAACUUCGGGAAACCGGAGCUAAUGCCGGAUAACAUUUGGAACCGCAUGGUUCUAAAGUAAAAGAUGGUUUUGCUAUCACUUAUAGAUGGACCCGCGCCGUAUUAGCUAGUUGGUAAGGUAACGGCUUACCAAGGCAACGAUACGUAGCCGACCUGAGAGGGUGAUCGGCCACACUGGAACUGAGACACGGUCCAGACUCCUACGGGAGGCAGCAGUAGGGAAUCUUCCGCAAUGGACGAAAGUCUGACGGAGCAACGCCGCGUGAGUGAUGAAGGUUUUCGGAUCGUAAAACUCUGUUAUUAGGGAAGAACAAAUGUGUAAGUAACUGUGCACAUCUUGACGGUACCUAAUCAGAAAGCCACGGCUAACUACGUGCCAGCAGCCGCGGUAAUACGUAGGUGGCAAGCGUUAUCCGGAAUUAUUGGGCGUAAAGCGCGCGUAGGCGGUUUCUUAAGUCUGAUGUGAAAGCCCACGGCUCAACCGUGGAGGGUCAUUGGAAACUGGGAAACUUGAGUACAGAAGAGGAAAGUGGAAUUCCAUGUGUAGCGGUGAAAUGCGCAGAGAUAUGGAGGAACACCAGUGGCGAAGGCGACUUUCUGGUCUGUAACUGACGCUGAUGUGCGAAAGCGUGGGGGAUCAAACAGGAUUAGAUACCCUGGUAGUCCACGCCGUAAACGAUGAGUGCUAAGUGUUAGGGGGGUUUCCGCCCCUUAGUGGCUGCAGCUAACGCAUUAAGCACUCCGCCUGGGGAGUACGACCGCAAGGUUGAAACUCAAGGAAUUGACGGGGACCCGCACAAGCGGUGGAGCAUGGUGGUUUAAUUCGAAGCAACGCGAAGAACCUUACCAAAUCUUGACAUCCUUUGAAAACUCUAGAGAUAGAGCCUUCCCCUUCGGGGGACAAAGUGACAGGUGGUGCAUGGUUGUCGUCAGCUCGUGUCGUGAGAUGUUGGGUUAAGUCCCGCAACGAGCGCAACCCUUAAACUUAGUUGCCAGCAUUUAGUUGGGCACUCUAGGUUGACUGCCGGUGACAAACCGGAGGAAGGUGGGGAUGACGUCAAAUCAUCAUGCCCCUUAUGAU